UCGGUUCUUCAAUUUUCCCCCUCCGGUAAACAUCAUCACCACCACCAGCAGUCACCAUCCUCUCUCUCUCUCUCUCUCUCUCUCUCUCUCUCUCUCUCCAGAACGCUUCGAACUGAAAAAACCCUCACCGGAAGUGCUCUUUGUUUCUUCUUUGGCGAUGGCAACCGAUCUGUAAAGGAGGGUUUUCUUCGAGCUAGGGUUUGUUGAGGAAGAUGACGAAGGACCUCCCUUCUCGUCGGGCCUCCCUUUCACAUAUCGGAGGUAUCCGAUCUCAACACAUCCAAGGAUUUUCAUUACCACUUGCGUCAACGAUCGAAUCGGAGGAGAAGGCGAAGGGCGGCGAGUGGCGAUAGGGUUUUUGUCAGUGAUUUUUUCCUUCCAGAUCUUGAAACCAACAAGGAACUUCGAAUCUAUAAUGUGAUCUCUUUCGGUCGUAGCUCAACAUCUUUGUCGGAGGAGCGAGGGUUUUAGACGGUGGUUUCAAAGUUGGAUUAUUUGUUGUUUGCAGAUGACCGACAACACAAAACCAUGUCUCUUCGGAUAUCGAUUUGUCUUCCUGAUUGAAGGUUGGUGGUGACGGAGAAUAUGGGGGCUAAAUAUGAAAACCCUAAUUAGAUUAUUCAUGGGAUUUAAACUGUGGUGGUGGUGACUUUUUACAUGUGUAUGUGGUAUAGACAGGCGAUGGUGGUGACAAUUAAAGGAGGCAGCGAAAUGGGUGACACUAAUGGCGUUCAGAUCAGAGGUGUUCUGAUCGGUUAUGGUGGGUUCUCAUAAUCAUUCAUGAGGUGGUGAAGAUUACGGGUGUCAGAAAAUCGAUGUUGGUGGUGUUGAACUGGUGGUAGGUGAUGCAGGUGGUGGUCCGAAAAAUUAGGCUUGAAUUCAUCAAAAUUUUUAUACUCUUUUAUUCUAAGCUCGUGGGGAUGUUAGACGGGUGGUGGUGAUGGUGGUCCAAUGGUAGUUUGGUGGUGUUCCAAUGGUGAUACGGUGACUGCUCCGGGGGUGUUCCUAGAUCUCCGACGACUUGCUCAGGUGAACUAAAGAGAUCAAGUGGAAGAGGGUAUAAGGUGUGGGGUGUUUUUUUGUUAGAAAAAUGACAGUAAUUAAAAAAGGGAAAAUAUCAAAGCCAAAUCCAUUUUUAAAAAAGUUUUGAAAAGUUUGGAACAUGUUAGCAACAAAAUAAAAUUUUUGGACAACUGAUGUUAUUCCAAACCUUUUUGGAUCAAAAUAACAAUUUUUGACAUAUUAUUUUUGCAAUUUGGUAACAAAAUAUUAUGUACAUUACUAGAGAAUCUUUUUACAAACCCCACCACAUACUUAAAACAAUUUAUAGAUGCAUACACUUAACAUUAUUGCAAACACAUGAUAAUGGACAAACUAUAUGUCUUAGAUCACGCACAUAAGUGCUACUUUAUUAGUCAUCUAAACCAACUCUUUUCAAAUAUUGUAAAACUUGUAAAUAAUACUUUUUGUUAAACAAUGUUUUAUUUAUUUAAUCAUCUGUUUAUUAUAUUAACAUAUACAAUAUAAGCCUUUUUUUUAUAUUGUUUUCAUUCAUUUUGGUUCUUUUAUACGUUAUAUUAACUUUAAUUUUGAACUUUAAUUAUUAUUUGAUUAACAAAUAACUAUUGUUUAUUUAAAAUAUAUAUGAUUAUAAACAUAUUACAUUAAAAGAAAUAUAUAUAUAUAUAUAUAUNNNNNNNNNNNNNNNNNNNNNNNNUAUAUAUAUAUAUGGGUAAAUUACACGAAUGGUCCCUAUGGUUUAGGGUAAUCUGCGUGUUUAGUCCCUAACAACUUUUUUAUUUAACUCGGACCGUCCCUAAUUUAUGUUUUUGUUGCACGCUUCGUCCCUGUCCGUUCUAAAAAGACUAUUUUACCCUUAGGCCCCGUUUGAUAGUUGCUGAUUGAGAAAGUGCUGACUGGGAAAAGUCUGUCUUGGUAAGAAGAAAUCAUGACCGAGUAAGAAAUCAUGCUGUUUGAUUGUCUAUCUGACUGAAUGUACUGACUGGUGAAGAAGGACCAUUUUACCCUCCCACUUCAAAUACAAACCACCACCUCAAUAUACUCUGGAAUCACCAAUUCCGGAGUUGUCUUCAAUUCCAACACAUAAUCCAUUUCCGCCUUCGGUCCCUAUUUGAUGCCAUUGCAAUCCCAAUUUCAUCUCAAUUCUUUUCCACUUUCAAUUCAAUCCCUCAACACCCACAACAAAAAGCCAUCAUCUUUCGCUGGAAUCUACAAUUCCAUCCUCCAAACACAAAUCAUCUUUCGCUGGAAUCUACAAUUCCAUCCUCCAAACACUACUAUGGAACAAGAGGCAGGUACAUAACAUCAAAAAAUCGAAAAUUUUAGAGAAGUUUAAAAGGAAUCAAUUUCAUGAAUCAAUAGAAAUCAAUUUCAAAAAUCAGACUAUUCAGAAUAGAAACCUUCCUGAUCAAACAGGAACAUAACAUCAAAAAAUCGAAAAUUUUAGAGAAUUUUAAAAGGAGUCAAUUUCAUGAACCAAUAGAAAUCAAUUUCAAAAAUCCGAUUAUUCAGAACAGAAAGGGUAUAAAGAAAUAUGUGAACAAAAUUAAUUCAUGAAUCAAUUUCUGAAUAGAAAGGUAAACAUGCGAUUGAAGGAGAUGGUUUCAUGAAUCAAUUUAAAAAACGAUUUUCAUGAACAAGAUGGUUUCAUGAAUCGGUUUCACGAAUUCAUGGAUCAAAUUCAAAAACGAUUUCAUGAAAUUGGUUUUAUGAAUCAAUUAAAGAAGAAGAAUAGAGGCCUGUAAGAGGAGAAGACAUACCUGAUGAGAAGGGGAGAAGGAGUCGAUCGGUGGGGGGAAGGGGCGCAGAGGCGUGAAAGAGGAACGUAGGGAAGGACACAAUUGGUAACACUUCCUUCUUUCUCAGUCAGUCGUUGGUUUUCUUCUUACCGAGCCAGAACCUUCUUUCCGAGUCAGAUGGGCCAAGAUUGAUUUACCAAACAAAUUUGGCUGACCGAGUCAGCAAAAAUUGUGUGACCCAGUCCAGUCAGAUGCAUAACAAACAUGCCCUUAAUAACUUAUUUAUUUAUUUAUUACUUAUUCUUUUACCUUUUAAUAUUAAAAAUAUAUUUAAAAAAAUUUUAAAAAAAAAAGUAAAAAGAAUCCCUAAAAUCCUAAGCAACGCCUCCGAGCCUCCAUGGCUCCUCCUACAAAUCUCAUCUUCCAGCAUCACCACUCUCUAACUUCAUCUCUGACGACUCCAAUAACAUCAUACAUGGUUGGUGAGAAAAACCUUCAUCUCCUUUCGUUCUUCACUGGUGGGACUAACUUUUCUCUCUACUCCGCCUCUCUGACCCUCUAUUUCACUUGAAAGAAUACGUCACCUAAAACUCCAAUUGCCUUGCCCACGUUUAUUCCCAAUCUCUCGUCUUCUUCCUUCAAGGUUUUCCCAUAAACUUCUUCCUUCAUGGCCUCCGACCCCCUCUACUAUCAUACGCCAGCAACAUCUAUUGCCAACGCCACCAGAGAAGGCAGAGGUGAAGCAGACACUGAGACAAUACAAAUUUAAGCAUUGGCCUCUUUCUCUGUCUCGGAUUGGGGAGCAUGUUAUCGAACCAGAAGUGAGAUUUAAUGUUUGAUUGCAGUUUCGACACCCAAAACAAUCCUACAACACUGGUUAGGUUUGAUUUAAGGUUUGGUUUUCAAUUUUAGGUUUGAUUGAAUUCUAGGUUUGAAUUAAGUUUCACAUUCAAAUUUCAGUAUGAUUUCAUGUUUGAUUCCAGUUGUAGGUUUGAAUUCAUAUUUGAUUUUGAAUUUUGGGUUUGAUUUGUGUUUCACUUUCGAUUUUAGUUUCAGUUUCAGGUUUGCAUCAUGGAUCAAUUAAAGGUUCAAGUUCAAUUCAUUAUGGUGAUUACAGUAAUACGCUUCACUGUAGUCGGAUAAGAAAGUUGUGGGGGAGGUGGAGGUGGAGCAGGAGCAGACACAGUCAAUGUGUGAGAUUUUCCGGUGACUGAACACAAUGAGGGUAUGGUGGUGUAGGCUCUUGAAUUAUACCGAUAUAUAUAUAUAUAUAUAUAUAUAUAUAUAUAUAUAUAGAUUGANN
Molecule: long non-coding RNA, 4062 nt
Filed under: Lactuca sativa (garden lettuce)
Lineage: Eukaryota; Viridiplantae; Streptophyta; Magnoliopsida; Asterales; Asteraceae
Description: long non-coding RNA (LSAT_LNC005748)
Source: RNAcentral